UGGGGAAUUUUGGACAAUGGGCGAAAGCCUGAUCCAGCAAUGCCGCGUGUGUGAAGAAGGCCUUCGGGUUGUAAAGCACUUUUGUCCGGAAAGAAAUCCUUGGCUCUAAUACAGUCGGGGGAUGACGGUACCGGAAGAAUAAGCACCGGCUAACUACGUGCCAGCAGCCGCGGUAAUACGUAGGGUGCAAGCGUUAAUCGGAAUUACUGGGCGUAAAGCGUGCGCAGGCGGUUUGCUAAGACCGAUGUGAAAUCCCCGGCUCAACCUGGGAACUGCAUUGGUGACUGGCAGGCUAGAGUAUGGCAGAGGGGGGUAGAAUUCCACGUGUAGCAGUGAAAUGCGUAGAGAUGUGGAGGAAUACCGAUGGCGAAGGCAGCCCCCUGGGCCAAUACUGACGCUCAUGCACGAAAGCGUGGGGAGCAAACAGGAUUAGAUACCCUGGUAGUCCACGCCCUAAACGAUGUCAACUAGUUGUUGGGGAUUCAUUUCCUUAGUAACGUAGCUAACGCGUGAAGUUGACCGCCUGGGGAGUACGGUCGCAAGAUUAAAACUCAAAGGAAUUGACGGGGUCAUAGCUGUUUCCU
Molecule: ribosomal RNA, 584 nt
Filed under: uncultured bacterium
Lineage: Bacteria
Description: partial 16S ribosomal RNA
Rfam family: Bacterial small subunit ribosomal RNA
Source: RNAcentral